CAGCUUCGGAAGGAGAACGUGCAGAACUUCAACAACAGUUGGGCAAUUUAGAAGUGGAAAGGCGAGUUCAGACAAAAAAUAUCACCGUCUUUGAUCGCGUGAGAGACGCAUUCCUCGAUGGUGUUUAGCUUUGCAUCGGCAAGCACGCGGAUUUGGUCGUGUUUCUUAGUUUUGUGAGGCAAUCUGCAACUGGCGUACCUUAACAUCGCAUAAGCCCCAAUUGCACCGAUAGCGAGGCCUUCCAUCACAAGUCCUAUGGGCCCAGUAAUAACUCCCGAAAUAGCGGGAAUGUGAAUGGCGGCAGGUGUAG
Molecule: unclassified non-coding RNA, 310 nt
Filed under: Acanthaster planci (crown-of-thorns starfish)
Lineage: Eukaryota; Metazoa; Echinodermata; Asteroidea; Valvatida; Acanthasteridae
Description: uncharacterized LOC110988054, transcript variant X2
Source: RNAcentral